UAUACGACUCUCGGCAACGGAUAUCUCGGCUCUCGCAUCGAUGAAGAACGUAGCGAAAUGGGAUACUUGGUGUGAAUUGCAGAAUCCCGUGAACCAUCGAGUCUUUGAACGCAAGUUGCGCCCGAGGCCUUUCGGUUGAGGGCACGCCUGCCUGGGCGUCACGC
Molecule: ribosomal RNA, 164 nt
Filed under: Lilium sargentiae
Lineage: Eukaryota; Viridiplantae; Streptophyta; Magnoliopsida; Liliales; Liliaceae
Description: 5.8S ribosomal RNA
Rfam family: 5.8S ribosomal RNA
About the family: 5.8S ribosomal RNA (5.8S rRNA) is a component of the large subunit of the eukaryotic ribosome.
Source: RNAcentral